Molecule: long non-coding RNA, 7497 nt
Organism: Acinonyx jubatus (cheetah)
Lineage: Eukaryota; Metazoa; Chordata; Mammalia; Carnivora; Felidae
Exons: 5
Source: RefSeq, a predicted model, not a curated record
GCUCUCCUGGCUCCUUGGGCAGCCGUGCAAGCCACAGGCUGCCAAGCCUGACGGAGUCCCGGAUCUGGGGCGGGGCUGGGUGACCUGGGGAGCGCUUACCCCGGCCGGGUGCAGGCAGCUGGCAGUGCCGUCCGUCCAGAUACUCGACGUCGUCCAGGGCGAUGGGCCCCACGGCUGGCUGGCCGCUUAGAGUGGCUUCAAACACGAUCUGACCAGAGGGAGAGGGGGCUGGCUGCGCGGGCUGGAGGAGGAGGGCGGGGCCUGGGGCCUCCGCAACCGCCAGGCUCCGGGCAGCCCGGCCUCACCUGGAACUCCUCUGCGCUGGCCACCUCCACCUGGCCCAGCAGCCACUGAUGCCGCAGGCGCCCGCCCAUGCUCCACACGGCCAGCUGGCCCCGGGCGCUGUUCAGGAGCACCCGCAGCUGGCCCUUGUCUGCAAGAAGGGGGCCGGGGCGGCUCAGGUCCCCAGCCCGGUGGGGCAGGGCUGCCCCCAUCCGCCCUCGCUGCUUCCAGCACCCGUCGCUACCGGCCCGGCCCACUCACAGAAGUGCUCCGGGAAGCCCAUGUGGUACCAGAAGCGGAGGCAGGAGGCCUCGGUGGCGGGCAGAGGCUGGCUGUGCAGCCAGGCUGCCUGGCCCCCCGGGCCCAGCAUGUGGGUUUCAAAGAGCACGAAGUGUCCUGGAGGCGCCAGGCGGACCCUCCGUGGGCACUGAUGCUGAGCACCUGCUGCCUCUCGGCCUCCCCCACGUGAACCUGCAGGGCGCCUGCCACGCCGAGUGACCAGCCCAGAGCCCCGGACCCGGGAGGCCCUGCCCAGCACCAGGGUCACUCACCGAUCUGGGGCCCGUGGAGGUGAUACCAGAAGGAGAGGCACUCCUGAGGAGCUGUGGGCACCUGGGGCUGGGUGAGCAGGCUGCCCUCCUUACGCGGAAAGGCCGGCGGCGUGCCCCAAGAAGGACUCUGUCCAUCCUCCAGCCCUGGCUGCUGCCCGGGGCCUGCCACACCAGCUCACGGUUGCUGUCCUCCACCACGACCAGGGCCAGGAAGCCUGGCCGAGGGGGUCACUGUGGGUCUGCCCGGCCCUCCUCCCCCACCCUCCCGCAGGGUGCCUCGGGGCGGGGUGGGCCAGAGGGACGGGGGGGGGGGGGGGGGGGUACCUUGGGGGUGACUCUGGAAAUAGUAAGCCAUGUGGAGCUCACAGCGGGGGCCCGAGGGACCCAGGGGAGGUGUGAGGACCCGGGCCUCUGCCGCGAGCUGUCCCCAGGCCCUCUGCAGGGCCAGGAAGUGCCCUGAGGAAGAGCAAGGCCUCUCAGAGCCAAUUCCUGCCAGGGCCCCCCCCCGCCCCCCUCACCCUGCCGCCCCGGGCAGGCACACUCCCUGGUGAGAGGAGGCACAGCGAGGUCCCCUCUGGGGGUGCAGUUCGCAGAUGGGGGGACUUGGGCCUCACCAGCAGCGGUCCUGCGGGCGCCUGCGCCAGGGCCCCGGCUCUCCUGGGCCAGGAGACGCCCCCACUGCAGCCGCCCCACGCUGGCAUCCUCCCAGCCCCCCGCCGUGAGGGGCUCGAAGUCCGUGGUGCCUGGAAGGGCAGUAGCAGGGAGGGUCAGGGAGGGUCUGGAGGAAGAGAGGGCCCCCCCGCCUCCCGCCAGCUCCGGCCGCCCCUCACCACAGUCCUGCUCAUCCUCGCCCCCCUCGCACUGUUGCUGGAAGUCACAGAGCUGCUCUGGGGGGACGCACAGGUCCCCGCAGGAAAGAUGUCCCGGCUCGCAGAAGUCCCGGGGCCGCAGGCUGGACGGCUGGCGCCAGGGGGCUGCGGCCCAGAGCCCAAGAGGUCGGCUCCGCCAGCCCUCCCCCUGCCUGGCCUCGCCUCGUGUCACCGGAUACCCUCCCCUGUCACCACCCCCACGCAGGCCUUGAAAGCGACCCCUCCUUCUCUGGGCCUGCUCCCAGAGCUUCCUGCUGACACAGCCUGGGGGGGGGGGGGGCUCUGAUCUCCCCUGCCCAGCUUUCCAGGGGGCGGGGGGCCCUCUGGGACCUCCUGCUCGCCCACCCCUCCCUGGCCGCCGCCCUCUCGGGCCUCACCCGGAAGGGGUGCUCGCUCUGGAUGUCGACCCGGUCUCGGACCCAGGCGGCCCCCAGCUCCCCGUGGCGCCUGCGCAGCAGGACGGGGCCCUGAGGGGAGCCUGGGCUCUGAAUCUGCAGGAACAGCUGGAGGCAGCCACCCUCAGACCCGUGCAGGUAGUGGUAGAAGAUAAGCUGAGAAGAGGCCAGGGAAGGUCAGGGAGACCCCCGGGCCUGGGCAGCCAGGUCGGGCGGCCCCGUGUCCCCCACCCACCUCACCGAGCAGUUGUGGGGGCCUGAGGCUUGGAACUCGGGGCUGGAGAGGACAGCGGGGGCGCUGGGCUCGGCCACGGAGACCAGGAAGGAGCCUGGGGAGACACCAGACGUGGGCCGGGGUGGCUGGGCGGGGCCCCGGUGGGCGCUCCCCGGCGGUCCCCCGUGGGCCUCACCCUGCGCGCUAUUGCGGCUGUGGUCCCGGCGCGGCCAGGCUGGUGGCCUGGGGCCGGCACUGUGGUUCCGGGCCCAGCCUUCCGAGUGGUUCCACGGGCCCAGGCCCGUCUCGAAGUCGGUGGCCGUGUGGCGGCCUGUGGGGGAAGCAGGGUCAGGCUGCCGGCAGGGCCCGUACCCCCCCUGUCCCGCUCCGUCACGCUCCCUGGUGACCCCCAGCAGCCCCUCCAGCUCACGGCAGGUGGGCGUGUCCUCAUCUGAGCCGUCCCCACAGUUGUCCUCUCCGUCGCACAGCUGGUGGGGCUCCACGCAGGCCAUGUUCCCACAGUGGUGGUACCCCAGGGGGCAGCGUGCUUGGGGGGCUGACAUGGGGGAGGGGCAGCCCGUCACCGUGACCCCAAGACCCCAGGGGCCGGGGCAGCUGGGGGAGAGGCUCAAGGCCAUCUGGGUCCUGCUAACCCACUGCCCCCCAGGUGUGGGUCCGCGGCACGGGGGCCUUACUGGGCAGCCCACAGCCCCGGAAGACCACGUCGUCCAAGGCCACGGUGCCCCUGUGGGUGGCAUUUCGGGUGGCAGAGAAGGUCACCUGAAAAGAGUGGGGUCCUCAGGACUUAAGUCAGGGCUCAGACCCUCCCUGCUCCCUCCACAUCCAGACCACCCCCAGCUCACCCAGAAGUCGCCCCGGAUGCGGCCAGUGGCCACCACCAGCUCCUGCCAGCCUGGGCCCCAGGGCCCAGAGCUCUGCCACAGGGUCAGCGUCUCGGCCCUGUGGGUCAGCUCCAGCCGCAGCUCAGCCACAUCUGUAAGUGGGGGGGCGGGGGGUCCUGGGGCGGCUUGGGCCCCGCUGCUUCCCGCAGCCUGCUGGCUGUGCCCUGCCCUAGGACCCUUGUUCCUCCCUUGAGGUACCUUCCCGGUCUCUGCGGCGGCCCUCCGUCCUUUCCCAGUCCCUCCCCUGGUGGCGCCCCACCCUGGUGGAGGAGUCCUGGGCACCCACCUCUGGUGGCCGUGUGGUGCCAGAGCCUCAGCUCACAGGUGGGGGCGGCGUCGCGCAGGGCAGGGGAGCGCAGGGCUGCCGUGGACGCCUCUUUCCCGCGGUGCGUGCCAACAGCCGUGUACCAGCCUGGCCGGCAGAGAGGUCAGGAAAUGGGGCUGGAAGUGAAGGGGGGAGGGGGCAUCACGGACACCCGCCAGGGCCUCACCGAGGUCUGUGCCGAGAGUGUGGUCUGAGCGCGGCCCCAGAGGCUCCAGUGUGGCUCCUGCCCGGUCUCGCAGCCACCUGUAGCCUGAGGUGCUGAUGUCCCGCCAGCCGCAGGAGUCUCGCUCGAAGUCACAGGCGAAGGGGGCGCCCGGGGCGGGCGAGACCCCGUGGUAACCUGGAAAGUGGGGGGCUCAGGGCUGUCUGCAGAGGGCUGGCCUGCCCGCCUCCUGCCCGCCCCACCGGGCCCCAGCUCACCGCACUGGGCCUCGUCGGAGCAGUCUGGGCAGUCACACACGAAGUUGCAUGCGGCCUUGCUGGGGGCCCUGCAGUCGUUGGGGACCCAGGCCCGGCCUGGGGGCCCUGCUGCUAGGAAAGAGACAGGCGGGUGGCCUGGGGCGGGGUGACCCCCCCCCAAUCCCAGGCGGCCCAGAUACUGUUCACCUGCUCUGAGGCCUAGGCCGAGAGGUCAGGGAGGGAGGGGGCUGGGUCCUGCCAGCUGGGGGCUCCCGGUCAGGGCCAGGCAGGGCACACCUGGCCCGGGAGAGGCGGGCUGCACGUCAGGAUGGGGGCGGGGGGGUUGUGAGCAUGGGACCAACGGUCCCCGACAUGGGAUGCCCCCUGAGGAAGGGAGCAGGAACCCAACAAGGAGAUGCCCCCGGCCCCCUCAGGCUCCAUUUGGUCCAAGAGUGGCAGACUAGGCUCUGCUUCCAGGGCCCUCUUGCCCUGGGACCCGGGUGACACUGGGGCCAGGUAAAGCAGAAUUCGUGCCCCUUCCCCGAUGGGGCAACCCCCAGGCCCCCAAAGGCUUGUCCUGGGCACCCCCCGAAAGCUACCCAGGGCCUUGCCCCUCUCCUGGGGAGGAGACCUGACACUCACCCAGGAGCAAGGCCAGCAGGAGGUGGCGGGGCAGACGCAUGGUUGGGCCAGGGGAGUGAGGCGGAGAGACCGCGCACUCCAGGCGGCCUCGCGGGGAUUUCGCCCGGUUAUCUGCCUGUGGCCCCGCGGGCUGAGUCUGCUCUGCUUGGGGGGGGACCUGGCCCCUUCUGUACCCGUUGCCCGUCAGCAGGCCCCGCCCUGUGUUGAUGAGGACGAACGUCCGACUGUAAAAGCGUCCAGGAGAGGGGCCCCUGGCCCAGGUAGGCUCCCACCCGCCCGGAUCCUUCUGACCAAAGGUCAAGCCUCAGUCAUCACGCCCACCGCCCCAGCCCUGCCUGGCGGAGGCCCCACCAGAGGAAGCACCCACUCGGGCUUUGUCUCCCAGAGCUGGGGGCAGGAGCCCAGCACGUACCCCCCACCUGUGCCCCCAGCCCCACGUUCCGUGCCUCCCUGCCCCAAGUGACCAGGGACUUCGUCCUUCCCCACCACAGUCUGUGGCUGCCUGUUCGCUUAUUCCUUUGUAAGGGACGAUCAUUUAUUCAUCAACAACUGUUCUGAUUAGCGUGGCCAGGUGCUGCCGGGCACAGGGCAUUUACCACCAUGUGACCUCGGUCUUACCAGAUCCUGUCUCCUCAUCACUAAGAUGUGGUCACAACAGCCUGGAGAGGCCACCGUGAGCUCACGGAAGGCCUGCGCCAAGAUGGCACCCGUGCUCACGGGAAGCCACAGAGACAGCUGUGCUCGGCUGUCCCCUCAUCCACACAUCCACUUGCCACACCUCGUCCCCCCUCAGCCCUGCACUGGGAGGAGAGGAGGGGGUCCUGGAGGGGGGCUCCCGGCUCCAAGCCUGAACCCUCAGAGCCUGUGGCUGCAGGGCGGGUGCCAUGGGACCCGGUCUCACAAGGGGUCUGGGAAACUUCACAUGACUUCAAACGGCAGAUCACGAGGGGACACUGAUGUCAGCUGGCCCUGGGGGACCUGGUGCUAACUCCUUGCGCAAGGGCUCAUCAAAGAGUUUCCUCCCAGAUGUCCUUGGACACAGGAGGGGUGGAGAGGAGCAAUCAGGCCAUAAAUGGGGGCAGCAGCCCAGGGGCCCCCUUAUCAGAGCACAAAGGGCUGAGUGUGCACGCCACCCCCCCCACCCCCCCCCCCCCGGGGCCCCCAGAUGUGGAGCCAGGUGAGGGACAGCCAGUAGGGGCCCUGCGGCUACCAGGGCCGCCUCCAGCUCUCUGUCACCCACACCCUCCGGCCAGGGGUCCCCAGGGGUGACCGGGAAGCAGACAGAUCAAGACACACACACAUCUGAGGAAGAGCAGGGGUGAUAACGUUUUUAAUUCCUGCAGGUGAGGUAAACCUGGGCGCUCGGCCCGGCUGCUGUUGGUCUCCAAGGCCUGGCCCGGGGUGCAUAGCGCCAGGGGGUAUAGUGGGUCGCUCGGGCAGGCCUCAGUAACCGUCGUCGGCCCAGGUGACCUCGUAGUCCGGGUACACGGCUUUGAUCUUCUCAGUGGAGACUGAGUGCUGGGCACGACCAUAACCCUGAAGACAGAAGCCGACGCUCACAGCCCCGUCCUGGCUCUGGGCGUCCAUCGGCAGCAGCACCCAGGAGGCGGCUAUGGAGGGGGCCCGCUGGAGCCGGACGUGGCCAGCCCUCCCUGAGCGCCCAGGGUAAGCUGGCCGCCAAGGUGAGCAGUCCUUGCGCGUGGGCCCUCCGGCCCACGGCGCGGCCUAUCCUAGGUGCCGAGAGAGGCUGUGUGAAUGCCCCUGGGUCUCCACUGUGGCCUGGUGACGGGACGGGGGGAUGGCCCAGCCAGGCCUCGUGGAGGACCGGGACGAGGCCCACUGUGGCUGAGGGGCAGGCAGUGGCCUCCCUCCCACUGCUCGUGGCAGAUGGGGAAGCCACUGGCAGGAGGGGUCCGCGGCCCAGACAGCCGGAGAACCCCCAGUGCCGCAGGUGUCCUCAGCGCGGGGCAGUGAGGGCUUGUGAGAGCUGGUCCCUCCCCCCCGCCCCCCUCCGCGGGCCGGGGGCUCACCAUGGAGUAGCCAUACACGUGGAUCUUCUUGUCCUGGCUCUGGUGGGAGAUGCGCCCGCCUCCCAGGCACUCACAGCUAUAGCCCUUCUUCUGCAUCUCGCCCGAUACCUUGUCAUAGAUGUCGGCUGGGACAGGGAAGGCGGCUCAGCACGUGCCACGGCCCGCGGAGGCCCGCGGGAUCUGGAGCUCCGGCUCUGGGCAGCUCCUCCCCAGGAGAGGAGCCCCUCCGGGCUGGGACGCCAUGAAAGGAGGAAGGCGUGCACCCGGGCAGGAGUCCUGGGACUAGGAGACACGGGUCGCGCCAUGGCGGCCCCUCGCCCUCCAGGACCCUUGCCCUCAGACCGGGUACAGGACCGCCUCUCUCGACGCCGCCUCAUUCCCCGCCCAGGGCCCUCAGCCCCGCCCCAGGACGCCCUCAGCCCCGCCCCGAAAACGCCGGCCGGCCCCGCCCUCACCGUGGUACUCGGCCCACUUAUAGCCCCGCACGAUCUCCUUGCUCUUCCCGGCCGGGGCCUCGGAGGGCGGCGCCGCGUGAACUCGGAUUAGCACGUACUUGAAGACGCCGUCGGAAUCGAUGUCCACAUCGGCUAUCUGGGCGAGGUCCGCCGCCGCCAUGUUUCCCACAGCCCGCCCGCCCCGGCAGCCCGCGGCCCUUCCCGCAGCGACCCUGGGUCGAGUCGACCGUGCGGGAGGCGGGCCCUGGGAGCCCGGGCCCAAUCCCGCGGGGCCUUGCUGCCCGGGCCCGGAGCUUCAGCCAAUCGUGUCGCCGACCCACAACACAGACUGGCCAAUGGCAACCUAGCUCCUUGCCACUCUGAGGCCACGCCGGUCCCGCUUAAAGGGGAACAGGGACCCGGGAGUGGGCGGUGAUUAAAUCAAGCUAACUUA